GCAUGACUUGGAUUUAUGGCAGGUCCUGCUCCGUGGACCUCUCAUAGUGUACCCCAUGCCAUAGCAUCUGACCUCCCCGAACCAUUGGCUGGCCUGGUGUUCUGUCACUCCAGUCACUGAAGCGGGUGGUACACGU
Sphaerodactylus townsendi is the source of this 136-nucleotide small nucleolar RNA. RefSeq annotates it as small nucleolar RNA SNORA42/SNORA80 family. The transcript has a single exon. NCBI's taxonomy places the organism in Eukaryota, Metazoa, Chordata, Lepidosauria, Squamata, Sphaerodactylidae. The record is from RefSeq and is a predicted model, not a curated record.